UACGUAGGGGGCUAGCGUUGUCCGGAUUUAUUGGGCGUAAAGAGCGUGUAGGCGGCCAUGUAGGUCCGGUGUGAAAACUCGAGGCUUAACCUCGAGAUGUCAUCGGAAACCAUUUGGCUAGAGUCCGGAAGAGGAGAGUGGAAUUCCUGGUGUAGCGGUGAAAUGCGCAGAUAUCAGGAGGAACACCGGUGGCGAAGGCGGUUCUCUGGGCCUUACCUGACGCUGAGGAGCGAAAGCGUGGGGAGCGAACAGG
Molecule: ribosomal RNA, 253 nt
Filed under: uncultured bacterium
Lineage: Bacteria
Description: partial 16S ribosomal RNA
Rfam family: Bacterial small subunit ribosomal RNA
Source: RNAcentral